Molecule: non-coding RNA, 48 nt
Filed under: Trichobilharzia regenti
Lineage: Eukaryota; Metazoa; Platyhelminthes; Trematoda; Strigeidida; Schistosomatidae
Source: RNAcentral
AUCCAGAUGAUGAUUCCCAAAUAGGACGAAAUGCGCGUUAUCCUGGAU